RNAcentral lists this ribosomal RNA (468 nucleotides) under uncultured bacterium. RNAcentral describes it as "partial 16S ribosomal RNA". It matches the Rfam family "Bacterial small subunit ribosomal RNA", at positions 28 to 507 of the family's 1533-position model. The record is from RNAcentral.
GACGAACGCUGGCGGCGUGCUUAACACAUGCAAGUCGAACGGAAAGGCCCUGCUUUUGUGGGGUGCUCGAGUGGCGAACGGGUGAGUAACACGUGAGUAACCUGCCCUUGACUUUGGGAUAACUUCAGGAAACUGGGGCUAAUACCGGAUAGGAGCUCCUGCUGCAUGGUGGGGGUUGGAAAGUUUCGGCGGUUGGGGAUGGACUCGCGGCUUAUCAGCUUGUUGGUGGGGUAGUGGCUUACCAAGGCUUUGACGGGUAGCCGGCCUGAGAGGGUGACCGGCGACAUUGGGACUGAGAUACGGACCAGACUGCUACGGGAGGCAGCAGGGGGGAAUAUUGCACAAUGGGCGGAAGCCUGAUGCAGCAACGCCGCGUGCGUGAUGACGGCCUUCGGGUUGUAAACCGCUUUCGCCUGUGACGAAGCGUGAGUGACGGUAAUGGGUAAAGAAGCACCGGCUAACUACGUG